Molecule: ribosomal RNA, 253 nt
Filed under: uncultured bacterium
Lineage: Bacteria
Description: partial 16S ribosomal RNA
Rfam family: Bacterial small subunit ribosomal RNA
Source: RNAcentral
UACGUAGGGUGCAAGCAUUGUCCGGAAUUAUUGGGCGUAAAGAGCGCGUAGGCGGUCCGAUAAGUCGGCUGUGAAAGUCAGGGGCUCAACCCUUGAAAGCCGGCCGAUACUGUCGGACUAGAGUCCGGAAGAGGCAAGUGGAAUUCCCGGUGUAGCGGUGAAAUGCGCAGAUAUCGGGAAGAACACCCGUGGCGAAGGCGGUUCUCUGGGACGGUACUGACGCUGAGACGCGAAAGCGUGGGGAGCGAACAGG